Long non-coding RNA from Oreochromis aureus, 2201 nucleotides. Lineage: Eukaryota; Metazoa; Chordata; Actinopteri; Cichliformes; Cichlidae. The record is from Ensembl.
GUGGACAGAGGGGCGCCAUCAUUACAGCUCUUCACACAACCCUCACACAUCUGGACAGUAGGAAACACGUGCGUGAGAAUGCUGUUUGUGGACUUUACCUUCAACACAGUUCAAGCCCACAAACUGGUUCAUAAACUCAGCAACUUAGGACCCAGCAGCUCACUGUGCAGCUGGAUACUGGACUUCCUGAGCAACACACCCCAGAACGUCAGGAUGGGAGCCACACCUCCUCCACCCUCACUCUGAACGUGUGUCCUCAGUCCCCUCUUAUACUCACUUUUCACCCAUGACUGUCCUCCAAUCCACACCAGUAACACCAUUAUAAAUGUGCUGAUGACACCACCAUCAUAGGACUGAUGGACAACAACGAUGAUUCAGCUACAGAGAGGAGGUUCAGCAUCUGAAGCAAUGGUGUGACCACAACAACCUGCAUCUGAACACAGCCAAGACCAAGGACAUGAUAAUCGACUUCAGCAGAACAAAGCCAUCUGAGCACUCCACCCUCUACAUUGAUGGAGGAGGUAGAAAGGGUGGAGAGCUUCAAGUUCCUCGGAGUCCACAUCUCGGCCGACCUUACCUGGUCCACAAACAUCUCCCACCAGGUAGGGAAAGCACAACAAAGGCUGCACUUCCUCAGGAAGCAAUGUCAAGCCCCAAAGCCUGCUAAUUCAUUUCUACUGCUCCACCAUCGAGAGCCUUCUGACCUCCUGCUGCACCCUCUGCUUCAACUGCUGCACUGUGGAGGACAAGAGGAAACUGCAGCGCGUGGUGAGGGCAGCAGAGCGGCCAAUCGGCACUUCACUGACCCCCCUCAGAGACAUCUAUAGGGCUUUGGAGCGUGAUGUCACAGGGGUGGGCGUGGAAAGGAUUUUGGCCCGAUCCGCCAUUUUCGGGGUCUAGCAAGUGAAAAGGGAGCGAAGGCACACACAACAGCCAUGGUUCGUAGUUGCUGUGUGGUCGGCUGCGAUGCUCGAUCGCACGACCGGCAAGAGAAUAAGCUUGAAAAUAGUUUAUCUUUUCAUUCUUUCCCAACCUGGAAGCAACAUGAGGCAGCUCGUGUAUCGAUGUUACCAAACGAAGGCGUCUAGCCUGGAUAGCAGCUGUGAGAUGAGCUGAUAUCCAGUUCUCUUCCAUCUCCAAAUAUCUGUUGGUGCUCCAGACAUUUUCAUUCCGAAAACCAGCCUAUGAAAUGGAUGAAACACAUCGUGACUGGGUUCCAGCGCUACACAAGGGACCUGCUUCAAACAUACCACCAUGCCAAUCAGAUUACUUCUUCCAUGUGAGGGUGAAGAGGUGACCCUUCUGGAUAAGAUGGUGAAGGUUUGCUGCGUUUGUUGAACAGUGUUAUAGUAAAACCAGGGAAAAUGAAACUUGCUCCUGUUAAAUAUUCUUAAGUCUUUUGCUGUAUAAAUAGUGGUAUUUUUUUUUCAAAAGAUACAGUAAAUAAUGUUAGUAGUGGGUGAUAUCAUGUAAACACUGUCAUGAUUUUAUGUAAACAUUUUGUCUUUUAUAAACUAUAAAUAACAUGGAUUCUACACUGUAACUGAUGUGAUGUUCUAUAAAGUGGUUUUAAUAAUAAAAAAGAGGCAAAAAUUAGUUUGUUUCUUUAUUAAAUUUUUGAACAGUAGUACUCAGUCAGGACAUAUUCAGUAAAUGCAAAUUAUUUACAUGGCAGUGCACUACAGGCAUAAAUCUAGACCCCUAUAUAAAACAUUAUGGCAUUAUAGCAGUGACAACUCCUCCACAGUAGCAGGUGAGAUUUUUCUUUUUUGAGGACGGCUCCUUUUACCUUUCAAUACGGAUGGUCUGUUUAUGUUUUGAUCAAGAGCCUUUUUUUGGGUCAGCUGAAGAGGAGAAGUCUAUCUUAUGGCCAACCUCUGACUGUAUCUUGGUCACAUAACCCAGUAAAACCCAGUAUGGAGGUUCAUCUGUAACAGUCCUCGUGCCACAGAUCUGCACUGUUGCUUCUAGAUUAAACAGAAGAGCAGCGACAUGGGUGCAGGUCUCCACGACUCCGGCCAUACAGGUGCAGUGGGCGGCUUCAACCUUCCCUGUGAUGCUCACAGUGACCCAUGGCUGCAAUGCUGGUUCAUUCAGUCUUUGAGAGUGCAGCACCUGAAACACACACAGACAAAGUUCAAUUAAAGACAAGAACUAUGAGCCAAGGCCGACACAAAUGUGUUUUAUCUACUUUAUCAUAA